UCUACGGGAGGCAGCAGUGGGGGAUAUUGCACAAUGGGGGAAACCCUGAUGCAGCGACGCCGCGUGUGGGAAGACGGUCCUCUGGAUUGUAAACCACUUUCCCCAGGGACGAAGAUGACGGUACCUGGGGAGGACGCUCCGGCUAACUACGUCCCAGCAGCCGCGGUAAUACGUAGGGAGCGAGCGUUGUCCGGAAUUACUGGGUGUAAAGGGAUCGUAGGCGGGACUGCAAGUAGGGUGUCAAAUCUACCGGCUCAACCGGUAGCCGCACUCAAAACUGCAGUUCUGGAGGGAAGUAGAGGAAGGCAGAAUUCCUGGUGUAGCGGUGAAAUGCGUAGAUAUUAGGAGGAACACCAGUGGCGAAGGCGGCCUGCUGGGCUUUUACUGACGCUGAGGCUCGAAAGUGUGGGGAGCAAACAGGAUUAGAUACCCGUGUAGUC
Molecule: ribosomal RNA, 440 nt
Filed under: uncultured bacterium
Lineage: Bacteria
Description: partial 16S ribosomal RNA
Rfam family: Bacterial small subunit ribosomal RNA
Source: RNAcentral